GCAAUCUAACUCACCACCAUACCGUCCAGAUUUGAUCCCUUCAAUCCUCCUCGACACGGCUAUGGUGCCAACGAUUGUGCCUCCUUAAUGUUCUCCAGUGAUCCACCACCAAUACUACAUGCUACGUUCAUCAUUGCUACCGCAAUGCUAUCAUCGACAUAGUUUGUGAAAUACUUUCGCUUUGAGUCAAAUUUGUUAAUUUUGCGUCCAGAGAAGACGAGAGAGGAGAGCAGACCAUUCACCCCACCACCAGGCCACCACCGGUCCAUGUCCAUCCCUGGCCGCUCCGCUCCCGCCGUGAUCCAGCAACGGGUUCGCUGCUGCCGGUCGCCAUUCACCUGUGUGCCUCAGGAGGAAACAGCUCCCUGGACCUUAUCCUUCUUCACAUUCUACCUCUACAGAUCAGGAACGCCUCGAUGGCCGUCUCUUCCGUUUCUCCUUUCUCUCCCUCCUUGCAAUACACCGGCCAUGAUUCAGGGAUGGAGAAGGGAGGGGGGUAGAGCCACCAUAUCAAGAGGUAGAGUGAAGGAGCCACGCUUGAGAACUUGGCGUGAGUUACUUUGGUCCAGCGGCUACCAAUGUUCCUUUUUUACUUCAGAGUUCUAAAAUCAUGUUGCCUUUCAAGAAUAAGAGGGAGAAAGGUCCAAACAAUCUUUCAAGAUUUGUCACACUCGAUGGAAACUGGAAGCAUCACUCUCCUUGGCUGAAAUCACAGUGGUCAAAUUAUAGAUCACAAGCUGUAGACGAAUUGUUUCUUCUGAUUUCCCAAUCUUCAGAUGGAACUGACCAAUCCGUGUGAUUGAGGAAUCCUUGUGGAGAAAAAGAAUUCAAGGAACCCCGCAGCUCCGAAUACAGAGGUGAGAAAUCGAAUCAAUCGAGCAGUGCUCUGGUGAUCUAUUCAUCUACAUGUUCUGAUCUGCAUGUAUUCCCUGUUUUUCCUCUGCUGGUUCAGCUUUGUUAAACUUAUAGCAGAUAUAAAAUACCUGUAUAUAUAUGAUUAGAACAAGGAAAAUACCGAAAAAGGCUUUCGCCCCGCUUUAUAUAUAAAGCAUAGACCAACAGUGUCCAGUACCACCGCACGCUCCCACCACAAACGCACACACACACCCAAGGCAGGAUACAUAGGCGCUGAGCGCAGCAACACACUCCCUAGCACUACACGAGCCGCCGGGAGCUUCAUCCGUGGACACCGUGAAGAAGUGAAGCCGCAUAUGACGAACCGUGGGCUCCAAGGCGGCGCCUUCAGGAAGGAUACGGCACCGGAGCGCCGCCACCGCCUGAUCCGAGGAUCAGAGUUUCCCCUGGAGCAACACGAUGGGCAGUGAUAGCCGCGAUGACGCCUUCAAGAAGGGGGCGAUCUUCGCCGUCGCCAGUCCGUCCGAAGAUAGAGAGGUUUUCACCCCGGCCAACACACACCGCCACCGAACACCACAUCCCGGCUACCACGCCGCCCACACGGCCGUGGCAGCCGGGCAGCACCGAGGCACGAGCUCUGCCCAUGAGCACCGCGCCACCACCACCAGGGCCGUCGCCCCAGAAUCCAAGACCUUGACACCAAGUCCUCCGAGCCCCACCGAUACCCCAACCGCAGAGACGGGCGGAAAGGCUCCGCCUUUCGCACCCCUGGCCGGUCCCAGCGCCGAGACCCAAUAGGCCGGCGACAAGCCUCCAUCGAUCCGUCCUGCGACACCGCGCGCGAGACGAGCGCAGUCCUGCCGUCGGGCGCGAGACGGGCCGGUCCUGUUGUCGGGCGCGAGACGAGCGCAGUCCUGCUGCCGGGCGCGAGACGGGUCGGUCCUGCUGCCGGGUGCGAAACCAGCUCAGUCCUACGGCACCAGGUGCGAGACGGUCGAUGGACAGCAGCCGGGAGAAGGCCAGCCCACCGGCGAGAGAAGCGAACGGACGCCGAGGAGAGGAGUCGAAGGCCUAUACAGGCAGCCUACAGACGAGCCGACACCAGAACAAUCUGGCCGCCGCCGCAAUCAACCUGCCACCACCACGGCAGCCGCCGGGCACGCACCCGCGCCGCCACCCCGACCAGCCGAGGGGGCCUCGGUCAGGGCCGCCACCCGCAGCCCUAGCCGUUGCGGCCCACGCCGCCAAGAGGCCAGAUCCGGAAGAGCCGCCGCGGCCGCCGUCUCCAACCUCCGGCCCGCACCACCACCACCAACUGUCGCGGUGCCACCACCACCUGCCGCGGCCACGGCAGAGGUGGCCACCGGCAGCCCGCGCCGCCCGCAGCCCGUGCCGCCAUGAGCCAGAUCUGGCCGCGCUGGAGUCGCCGCCGUCUCGGGUACACGCGCCACCCGCCUAGCCGCCCGCCGCGGGGGGAGGCAGGGCGCCGCCCCAGCCCGCCGCGCCGCCAUGGAGCCCGGCUGCAGCUCCACGACCCUGCCCGGGACGCCGGCCCGCGCCAGCACCGCCCGAGCGGGGAGACAAAGGGGCCCCGCCGCCGCCGGCAACAGCAGGGCUUCGCCCGGCUGCGCCCCUGGGCGGCGGCAAGGGAGGAGGAUGGGGGAGGAGGGAGCGGCGGCGAGGGUUGGGGUUGGCCUCCGGGCCGCCUCGCGGGAGACGACGCGGAGGGUUGGGGUUCAACCUGUCCGUGAGGUUUUCUCCGAACAAGCAAAAUUAGCACUCUCUAUCUUGAGUUGUCAGUUUGAUUUACAUACACAUGUCACUAGACUAUGCAUCAUCAAGCAGAAUGUUUAUGUGUGUUGCCAGUAACAAAUUGUAUCAAAUCUUGUGUUAAAACAAUACUAUCAAAUUAACUUUCCAACCAGGAUUUCAAGAAAAAAUAUUGUGCUGGAGCAAGAAAGGGAACAUGGUAAGGAGUGUGCCUACAAGAGUUUCUCUGUUCUCUUCUUAGGGCAUGUACAAUGGUUGAUAAGAUAGUCUUAUCUUAAUUUUUGCAUGUAAUUUAGAGAUGACAAAAAAAUAUGUAUACAAUGGGUCAUCUCUUAGUCUUAUCUUCAAUAACUAGACAUUCCUAAAAACGUGGUGACACAUAUUAUGCUAAGAGAUCAUCUCUUGUCUUAUCUUAAAUAAGAGAAGACAAGCCUUUUCUUAAGAGUUCUUUCUCCUCCACCUCAUCAUUUAUCCUAUGUGGCACUCCUAAGAUAGCACCAUUGUACAUGCCCUUAUUGGUUGCCAUAUGCAGCUUGCGGGUCUCAACUUAAUAAAUACAUCAACCGCGUACCGAAGGAAAAACUCAUUACAUGAAUUCUGAGUAGGUAUUUUCAGUCUUUCGCAAUGUAGUUUGUUUAUUUUUCUCUGCACCAUGAUGUGCUGAUAAAAUUUGGAUAAUCAAUCCAAUUUCCAGUGAUGAUGCCCUAGCUGAUCAUGCUUCUUUACCACAAUCAUUUUCCUGACAGUAGUUGUGCAUGCAGUACAUGUUUUCAGUUGAGCGAACCCUCUUUUAGUUAGAGAUCAAAAUUCAAGCCUGACAUGGCAUAUGAAUGCUCCCAGUUUAGCAAAAGCCGUGAUCUUUCCAACUUUGAGAGUUGAAGGAAAUCUCCGGAUAAAAAAUUGAAGAAUUCAUAUAGCACAGUACAGGGUGAGCAUCCACAUGACAGUUCUAAAGUUGUUUUUACCAUAUGGAAGCUCAUAAGUUAUGAUAAGAAUAAAAAUGCAAAGUUUCAAAAACUUAUGUUUCCAGCAUGAUGGCUCCCCUGUUUCUAUGGUAAUCUUUUUCAAAUAUUCUGAUCAUGGUCCUCUAAGCAUUCCUGGUUUGUCACUUGAGCCUGAACCGUGGGUCGCUGAUCCAACGAACAUUGAUGAAAUCCAUAGAAAAAAGCUUAGCUAACUCUUCAUAACAAAUGGACUGAGUUAGUGCGCGCACUCACCGGCCGGUGCUUCUCAGUUUUUUUAACAUGCUAUAGCAGCUAUACAAUAUCAGAUUUAUGGAAACAUAUUUCACAAUUGGUAAUUAGUGUGUUCUAUUCUCCUUUCCUUGGAUAUUUCUUAUUCUGUUUUAGAAUUAUUAUUUUUCGUCCGCACUUUCAAGUAUUUAUGCGCCUGGGGUCUUUCAUUCUACAGCUGAACAAUUAUAUCUCAAAAUAGCUUGCGCUGCGCCCCCUAUAUUUGAUCCUUCUGCCCUCUUUUAAAUUCAACCUCUAAUUGACGUCUUCUUUCGUUGUUGUUGUAUAUACUUGCACCAAAUUAUACAAAAUGAAAUAUUGUGGAACAGGCAUAUUCAAAACUGUUUUUUGAAGUUAAAUAUCUAAUGUGAGAAGCCUAGAUAUAAGAAAUAUAGGUGUAAGGCGAUUGUUUUGAGGUGUCAAUGCAACUUACAGUACAUGGAUCUGGUUAGAACUUUGAUACUUCUUGCUUUGAUAUGCUGCUACGGUAGCUCAAUACCGAUGAAACAGAAGGAUUGGUCAUGUCACCAAAUGGGUACCACACACAUAUAGAUUGUUGCUUGCUCUCACGAUCCAUGUCAUCCUCGAUCCAUGUUGGUAUGCAUCCUCUCCCUUUCCUUUCCUCUCUACUAAGUUGUCUCUCCUUUUCCUUUAAUUAUUCAUGUGAUCUUUUUUGCUCUGAGAAGCCCUUCAUGAUGCACAGAAGGAUUCAGUUUCUGAAUUCUUAUCAACAGGUUUCAGUUGUCUAUUGCAAAAAUGUUCUAUGUAUAUUAUGUGAGUUAAAGGGUCAACCAAAUGAUCAUAUAUGUAUUUAUAUAGAAUCAUAUCUAUCUAUUGGCAGCCAUGUCUUAUGCAUACAUCUUUGCUGAUUAAAAAAAAUAUGCACAAAGACCUACGUGAAAUAGCUCGAUAAACAAAAAAUACUGCUCGACCGAUUUCUUCCUCUUAUUCACUGUUCCAUUUUAUAACACAAAGCGCUCACAUGGGCUCUCUUGGGCGCGGCGUGUCGCCGCGCCUCUGCCUGCUAGUCAGGAUUAAUUGUUGCUAUCUAGAGUAUUUAUUGAAAGAUGUGUGAUCAGAGAAAAUUAGCUCUAAUCCUAGCGUAAUUAUGGGGAGCACACUUGAAAGCAUCGAUGGUAAAGGAUGUUUAGUUUGAAAACCCCAAGAGAUGGGUGGUAACUUGAGGAAGUAAAUCUGACGCUCCACUGACUUGAUCCAAGGGCCAUGCACCGGUGUCAUUCCUAGCGGUCUCCUAUAAAAGGGGUACGGCAUCCGGAUCUGACCCAAAUUGACUCCCCCCCCCCCCCCCCAAAUCAUCUUGGCCGGCCCUAUGGCGUCCCAAAGCAGCCCGGCCGGAGCGCCGCCCGGUUUCCCUAAACCUACGAACUACCUUCCCGCCGUCGAUCUUCCCCGUGCCCUCGGACGCUGCCGCAUGCUGCUGGACAGGCUGCUGCAACAUGAGGACGGGUGGGUGUUCGCCAAGCCGGUGGAUACAUACGAACUCGGACUCCGCGACUACUACUCCAUCAUCGCCGAACCCAUGGAUCUCGGCACUGUCAGCCGCCGCCUUGAAUUGCGUCGCUACCCGAACCUGCUCUGCUUUGCCAAGGAUGUCCGGCGUACCUUCAGCAACGCCAUGACCUACAACAACAAGGGAGACGAUGUGUAUGAGAGUGCUGCUAAGCUCUCUCGCAUCUUUGAGUCAGGGUGGGCCUCCAUUUUGGCGGCGCUCCCGUCGCCGCCGCCGGUCGCCGUGCGCAGGGCAAGGCUCAAGGAUGAGUUGCCGCGGCUGCCGGUGGACUUGCAGGACAAAGCGGCCAUCAUUAUGACAGACAUAGGCGGGUGGAUCCAGGAGGUGGAUGGGAGGGUUGAGGUGGAUUUGGACAAGGCCGACGAGGCGACUCUUGACAAGCUCGAGUGGCUGCUCGCUCUCGCCACCAUGAGGAAGGAGGCAGGAGCGCUGGAUAAUCAAAUUUGAUGUGGCGCUGCAUGAUUUUACCAGCGUCAAUUGUUUCUCGGUUCCGGAACGCUGUUGACUUAAACAUCGCUUCCCUCUUUUGCGAAUGAGUAUCAGCAUGAUUUCUAAGUGGCUGUAACAUCGCUAGCCUAGAUAUCCCUACUCUGGAUUUGUAUGAAUACCCCAGUGUCAGUGUGGUUGUAAUUUGGGGGUUUGUAGCUGGUCGGUUAUUCUGUCUGUUGUUAUAUUGGAAUUAGACUUUGAACCUGUGAUGAUACUGAAGAACUGCAAGGAUGUGUGGAAGUCAUGUUGUUCGAUUGUUCA
This is an RNA transcript of Triticum aestivum (bread wheat), 6138 nucleotides long. It is a transcript of the gene named transcription factor GTE4, with no coding region annotated. The transcript is spliced from 6 exons. NCBI's taxonomy places the organism in Eukaryota, Viridiplantae, Streptophyta, Magnoliopsida, Poales, Poaceae. The record is from RefSeq and is a predicted model, not a curated record.